Astyanax mexicanus (Mexican tetra) is the source of this 1918-nucleotide long non-coding RNA. RefSeq lists it as uncharacterized. NCBI's taxonomy places the organism in Eukaryota, Metazoa, Chordata, Actinopteri, Characiformes, Acestrorhamphidae. The record is from RefSeq and is a predicted model, not a curated record. The transcript has 2 exons.
UCGCCCUUACAGGAGGGUCAGUUGGUUUACCUGCGAGAUAAUACUGUUCGGGGUCGCCACAAAAUUCAUGACGUAUGGAGUUCUGUUGUUUAUCAAGUGCUGAGGGCUCCUGUUGGGGAAGGAGCAGUUUAUACAGUUGCUCCAGUAAAUGACCUAUGUAAGGUAAAGCACGUCCAUCGUGACAUGUUAAAAGCCCAAGUCCAGAAAGAGGCUCCUGUUCCUCCUCCUAGGGUUUCUCCACCACAAGUCCCAGUAGCACCUUUGGAUACCUCCAGUGAUGAAGACCUUUGGUUAUUGGUAUCAGAAACCAGAUCAACGGCUUUUCCAGUACCUGCCCUUAGUGCUUCAGGUCCUACAGGGCUUCCUAUGGUGGUACCUGCAGGAGAUGGUCAGAUUUCAGAUGCUCCUAUUGUGCCCGAAAGAGCUCAGCCUUUGGAUUCUUUGUUGCCUGUAGUGUCUCAGCCUUGUUCUAGCCAGUCAUCAUUGCGUCGUACUUCACGUUCUACGGCUGGUCAGCAUUCUAAUGUUUAUCGUCUUCCACGUUCUGUAGGUGUGGAGAAUAUGGUUGAAUCCCAAGGCUCGGUUUUGAAUGCACACUCAGCUUUGUUUAGACCCUGGCGGUAGUCCCUUUUUGUUGCAUUAAUUUCAUCGUCGGGACGACGAUGCAAAAUGGGGGGGUAGAUUGUAGCAGGAGGGGUUUUGUUUACCCCACCUACAUUUCUUCAUUUAAUAAUGGUGUGCGGGCGCUUUAAGGUGCUGGGCGGGAUUUCUAUCCCCUAUAUAUAGAUGGGGGACCCUUAUUUGGUGUGCGCUUCCUGUCCCCCACUCCUCUCUCUCCCGGAGCGUCUCACUUCCGGUCCAGCGGCAUUCAGCUUGGUUGAUUUAGCGCGGUUUUUGGCUCACUUCCAAAGAAGGUAUUUGUGGCUACAGUAGUUUGUUAUAACCUUACUGUGUGACUUGAUUAACUCAUUAGCACAUUUUACUUGUAGACUUGAAGAUUUUCGGCUGUUUUGCCGGCCCAGCAGCGUUGUAUUGUGCUCUUGUGGGUCUAGUUUCACUUUCAGUUUCAUAAGGGAUAGCGGCCGUGUGGCUGUGCUGUUGCCGUGCUGUAGCUGAUCGUCUGCUGUGGCCAUUUCCUGUGUCUGCCGUGCCAUUUUCUGCUAGCUGCUGUUUGCUGCACCAGCUGUGAUUUCCAGUGGUGUUGUCUGCUCUCUGCACUCUAACCCUGAUUGAUUGGGGAAACUGCAUGCUGUAUGUUUUCUCACCCAGACUGUGCUGAUUGUGGCUUUUAGCUUCUCACAGUGCUGCUGUUUUGUUUCUCUAUUUUUGUUGUUAAUUUUCUUUUGCUAUUUUCUGUCUUAUUCAUUCUUUGUUUUGGAUUAUUAUAUCUUUGUUUAAAUUUGGUUUCUGUUUUGCCUGAGUUUGUAUUCUAUUUUUAUAAUUUUGCUUUGCGUUAUCAACCCUAACUAUCUGUGGCUUCUUUUUGUUUUGUAUGGAAUUAGGGUUGAUUUCUUAUUGACUACUUUUUCAUUUAUGAUUUGGUGUCUUGUCAUUUAUUAAGUAUUUCUCAUUUGUUUCAUAUAUUUGAUUUCUUUAUAAUUUGAGUUUGAGUGUUGGUUAAUUUGGUGGGAUUAUUUUAUUUUGAAGAUUAGUGCAGUCAGUCGACUGCACUUUCCUGAUUUUUGUAUUUUGUGUUUGGAUUACUUUAAUUUGGGUUAAUUUUGGUUAUUUGGACUAUCUUCUCUUUCUUCUGUUUAGCAGAACUGUGUGUGUGUGUGUGUGUGUUGUGGUGGUUGUACUGUGGUGUGGUAAAGAGGGGCUGCGAGAGACCAGGACUAAAUAAGAUAAGUGUUUUUCUCUUUUAUAUAGUUGUCGUAAUUAAUUGUGUAGUUUUAAUUUGAAAUAUAGUUCUGGUAAA